Molecule: ribosomal RNA, 468 nt
Filed under: uncultured bacterium
Lineage: Bacteria
Description: partial 16S ribosomal RNA
Rfam family: Bacterial small subunit ribosomal RNA
Source: RNAcentral
GACGAACGCUGGCGGCGUGCUUAACACAUGCAAGUCGAACGGAAAGGCCCUGCUUUUGUGGGGUGCUCGAGUGGCGAACGGGUGAGUAACACGUGAGUAACCUGCCCUUGACUUUGGGAUAACUUCAGGAAACUGGGGCUAAUACCGGAUAGGAGCUCCUGCUGCAUGGUGGGGGUUGGAAAGUUUCGGCGGUUGGGGAUGGACUCGCGGCUUAUCAGCUUGUUGGUGGGGUAGUGGCUUACCAAGGCUUUGACGGGUAGCCGGCCUGAGAGGGUGACCGGCCACAUUGGGACUGAGGUACGGCCCAGACUCCUACGGGAGGCAGCAGUGGGGAAUAGUGCACAAUGGGCGGAAGCCUGAUGCAGCAACGCCGCGUGCGGGAUGACGGCCUUCGGGUUGUAAACCGCUUUCGCCUGUGACGAAGCGUGAGUGACGGUAAUGGGUAAAGAAGCACCGGCUAACUACGUG